This 1059-nucleotide long non-coding RNA is filed under the name Cairina moschata (Muscovy duck). Its description in RNAcentral is "domestica (muscovy Duck (domestic type)) lncRNA (ENSCMMG00000000183.1)". Lineage: Eukaryota; Metazoa; Chordata; Aves; Anseriformes; Anatidae. The record is from RNAcentral.
AUGGCACGGAGAAGAGCGGCGGGGCGAAAGCAGGGAGCCGACACCCCCGGCUCGGAGGGGGCUGCAGGAGGGCACCCGCCUGUCUCCGGCCCCCGGUGUCGUCCCCGGCCCCGGGAGGAGGAGGAGGAGGAGGAGGAGGAGGAGGAAGAGGAGGAGGAGGAGGGGGACAUUUUCGCAAGCCCCCGGCACUCACCCUGGCGAGGUGUUGACACGGCGCAGGAAAACCGACGGGAGCGGCGUUCGCCGGAGAGUUGGCGAGGCAUGGAGAGGCGGCCUCGGAAGGGGGGGGACACCCCAAAUUUCCCCCCUCCCCCCCCGCACUCCCCAGCACGGGGGCUGCAGCUCCAGCGGCACCGCGACCCCGCAGCUCGCACACGGGAAAAGAGCACGGAGAGAGGCGGGGGGCCGGGAAAAAUUAAAAAAAGAAAAAAAAAGGAAAAAAAAAAAAAAAAAAAAAAAAAAGUAGGAAAUAAUAAAAAAAUAAAUAGAAGGGAAAACGAGAAGAGAGGAGGUUGGGGACUCCGCUUUUGGGCUGGGGAGAGGUUUCUCUGUGGGCAGCCGCCGGGCCUGACCUCUCCCCCUUUUCCUCUCCCCAGUUUUUUCUCCCCUCUCCGCUCCUCUCCCCGUCCAUCCUGGGCCCCCCCGGCGGGCACCCCUCUUCCACCUCCCCUUCCUCCGGGUCUCCCCGGCCUCGGGGGCGAAACCAGCUCCGCGGGGAGGGACGGGGGACAGGGGACAGGGGACGGGGAGGUCCCGCACCCCGCACCCCGCUCCCCGCACCCCAUCCGCCCCCGUGCGCCCCGACGGCCCCCGGGAGGCCGCGGGGGCUUCGCUCCCGGCCGCCCCCCGCGCACCUCGCCCCGUGCAGCCGCUGCCGGUGUCGGUGUCGCUGCCGGUGGUGGUGGCGGUGGUGGUGGCGGUGGCGAUGUCCCUGCGGCCGCCCCCCGCCCCCGCCGGCCCCUCCUGGCCGCCCGGCUGCGAGCCGAUGGGAGGGCCGAGCGGCAAUUCAUCUUGAUUUGCCUUCAUUGUCCGGAGCUGGCGAACUAUAAUCCUGUAUAA